Long non-coding RNA from Vicia villosa (hairy vetch), 652 nucleotides. RefSeq lists it as uncharacterized. NCBI's taxonomy places the organism in Eukaryota, Viridiplantae, Streptophyta, Magnoliopsida, Fabales, Fabaceae. The record is from RefSeq and is a predicted model, not a curated record. The transcript is spliced from 3 exons.
CUAUGCAAUUCCCUUUAAAUAUCAUUACUCAGAAUGUGAAGAUAAAUCACAAAUAUUGAAGUCUCUUUUUCUACCCCAACAACAACUACCACCAAUUCCAUAUGGCUUUGAUAGGAAAACUUUGUCACAGUGAAUUGGAAUACUCCUUCACAAUAGUAAAGCUAUCUGAACAGAAGUUUCCAGAAAUUGAUCCCACAUUUAUAAUUGCUCCUCUAAUGUUGUUCUUGAGGUGGGUUACUAUAUGAAUGACAAUUUUAGCAUCCUCAACAUCAAAAAUAUAGUGGAUAUCGAGCAAUUGCCCUUUUACCAUAGCAGGUUUUGGGGCGUAGACAACAUUAUGGUUUUCGACCUCGGUCUAACAAAUGUUGAACUAUCUCAAACAAAAUUGAGAUUAGAGGAGGACUUUGCUGAACUUUUAAAAGAUUACAACUACAAUUGUCUCAACUUGUGCUGUGAUAAUGGUACGAGGAUAAUCCUGGAAUUAGCAUACAUAAACACUUCAUACCCAACAAAGCUAGGACCCGACUGGGAAGAAUUCUGUCAAACCAAUAUGUUCAAAGUUGGUGGCACAAUUAGGUUUAGAUUUGAUAUCAGGUCUCCAAAAAAAAAUGUCAUGUCUAUAAAAUCCAUUAAUUUAUCAAAUUUGUCUUAA